This 253-nucleotide ribosomal RNA is filed under the name uncultured bacterium. Its description in RNAcentral is "partial 16S ribosomal RNA". It matches the Rfam family "Bacterial small subunit ribosomal RNA", at positions 524 to 776 of the family's 1533-position model. The record is from RNAcentral.
UACGUAGGGUGCGAGCGUUGUCCGGAAUUAUUGGGCGUAAAGAGCUUGUAGGCGGUUUGUCGCGUCUGCCGUGAAAAUCCGGGGCUCAACCCCGGACUUGCGGUGGGUACGGGCAGACUAGAGUGUGGUAGGGGAGACUGGAAUUCCUGGUGUAGCGGUGAAAUGCGCGGAUAUCAGGAGGAACACCGAUGGCGAAGGCAGGUCUCUGGGCCACUACUGACGCUGAGAAGCGAAAGCGUGGGGAGCGAACAGG